AGCAGCUCUUUAAGGGCAUCUCCAGAGCAACCCUCCCAUCUAAGAGCUUCCUCUCAUCAUGCCCUGCCCAGCCCAUUAUGCUCAUUUUAUGAGUCCUGCCAUCCACCGAACAAGCUGGAGCCCCGAUCAAAGGUUGAUGACGGGAAGCAGGAAAUGAAGCCACAACACCUACAAAAGUCACACAUCUGAUCUGGGACUGUUUCAGAGGGGAUGUUUAAAGCAGCAGUGUGACGACUGUCAGCCUCUUUCGUCUCCAUCUGAGCCCUUUAAAUGUUCAGGAACCAGAGCUAAAUUACAUAGAUUGUUAUUAAAGAUUCUUUUUCUUGCUGUUAAACUCUGUUUUUGUGUCUCACUCUAGGAAAAUGCACAUCUUUUUCCCUCUGGUCCUCUUCAUAGGUUCCACAUCUGGCAAAAAGCAAGGAGACUUUGGCAUUUUCUCAGCCUGCGUCCUCAACAACAGUCUCAGGUUGAGGUGCCAUUAUGCAGACUGUCAGGACUCCCCCCCCUAUGAUUGUGACUUCUUCACAUCUAAAGGGUCCAAGAUAUCCACAGAGCCUGACAGGAAGUGUCGGAUUGUUCUUCCAAAUCACCCUGUGCUGUACAGCAACACAACCACGAGCUACAACUGCACGCUGACGCGCCGGAACCGGAAUGAAUCCAAACACAUCACCAUCGACUACAGCAUACGCCAAGGAAAGCAACGCAUCAGGGACUGUACGAGCGCUUCCUGCUUCCUGCUGCACCCAGCUCCAGACCUGCUGUGGCCUGCUGUGGUCCUGUCUCUGUGGGGGGUCCUCCUCACAGACGGGCAGCCAACAUGAGCCAGAGCUUCUCCAAAACGAGCAUCUAUGCAUUCAAAUAUACAUUUGCACUUUUAAGUUGUCUAUAAAAGGGUUUGUUGAAACAAGGACAACGGUGUGUUUUUGACUCAUCUCGGACUUUUUUCCACUGGGGCACAACUAAAGUUCCUGGGACCAUCUGAAAGUUCUGGUCACUAAUUAGAAUAGAUAAGAACGAUGAGAGGAUGUACGUUUCCAAAUAAAUGCUUCUAUAUCUACAGACAGCAGACGAGAAACCUCAGCAAAAAUAUGAG
This 1093-nucleotide long non-coding RNA is filed under the name Takifugu rubripes (torafugu). RNAcentral describes it as "lncRNA (ENSTRUG00000029311.1)". The record is from RNAcentral. Lineage: Eukaryota; Metazoa; Chordata; Actinopteri; Tetraodontiformes; Tetraodontidae.